This 27-nucleotide non-coding RNA is filed under the name Mus musculus (house mouse). The record is from RNAcentral. Lineage: Eukaryota; Metazoa; Chordata; Mammalia; Rodentia; Muridae.
UACAAGUGCUUUGCUGGUCACACCGGG